This 913-nucleotide ribosomal RNA is filed under the name uncultured marine archaeon. RNAcentral describes it as "bacterial SSU rRNA". It matches the Rfam family "Archaeal small subunit ribosomal RNA", at positions 1 to 922 of the family's 1478-position model. The record is from RNAcentral.
UUCCGGUUGAUCCUGCCGGACCUGACUGCUAUCGGAUUGAUACUAAGCCAUGCGAGUCUUUGCAGUAAUGCAAGGCAUACGGCUCAGUAACACGUAGUCAACUUACCCUAUGGACGAGGAUAAUCUCGGGAAACUGAGCAUAAUACUCGAUAGAUCAUAAUGCCUGGAAUGGUUUAUGGUUGAAAUGAUUCGUCGCCAUAGGAUGGGACUGCGGCCUAUCAGCUUGUUGGUGAGGUAAUGGCCCACCAAGGCGAUUACAGGUACGGGCUCUGAGAGGAGAAGCCCGGAGAUGGGUACUGAGACAAGGACCCAGGCCCUAUGGGGCGCAGCAGGCGAGAAAACUUUGCAAUGUGCGAAAGCACGACAAGGUUAAUCCGAGUGAUUUCUGCUAAAGGAAUCUUUUGUUAGUUCUAAAAAUACUAGUGAAUAAGGGGUGGGCAAGUUCUGGUGUCAGCCGCCGCGGUAAAACCAGCACCUCAAGUGGUCAGGAGGAUUAUUGGGCCUAAAGCAUCCGUAGCCUGUUCUAUAAGUUUGCGGUUAAAUCUAUACGCUCAACGUAUAGGCUGCCGUAAAUACUGUAGAACUAGGGAGUGGGAGAGGUAGACGGUACUCGAUAGGAAGGGGUAAAAUCCUUUGAUCUAUUGAUGACCACCUGUGGCGAAGGCGGUCUACCAGAACACGUUCGACGGUGAGGGAUGAAGCUGGGGGAGCAAACCGGAUUAGAUACCCGGGUAGUCCCAGCUGUAAACGAUGCAGACUCGAUGAUGCAAUGGCAUAGAGCUAUUGCAGUAUCGCAGGGAAGCCGUUAAGUUUGCCGCCUGGGAAGUACGUACGCAAGUAUGAAACUUAAAGGAAUUGGCGGGGGAGCACCACAAGGGGUGAAGCCUGCGGUUCAAUUGGAUUCAACGCCGGG